Molecule: ribosomal RNA, 253 nt
Filed under: uncultured bacterium
Lineage: Bacteria
Description: partial 16S ribosomal RNA
Rfam family: Bacterial small subunit ribosomal RNA
Source: RNAcentral
UACGGGGGGGGCAAGCGUUGUUCGGAAUUACUGGGCGUAAAGGGCUCGUAGGUGGCCAACUAAGUCAGACGUGAAAUCCCUCGGCUUAACCGGGGAACUGCGUCUGAUACUGGAUGGCUAGAGAUUGGGAGAGGGAUGCGGAAUUCCAGGUGUAGCGGUGAAAUGCGUAGAUAUCUGGAGGAACACCGGUGGCGAAGGCGGUGGGCUGGGCCGGUACUGACGCUGAGGAGCGAAAGCGUGGGGAGCGAACAGG